RNAcentral lists this ribosomal RNA (627 nucleotides) under Ciliophora sp. RNAcentral describes it as "SSU rRNA". It matches the Rfam family "Eukaryotic small subunit ribosomal RNA", at positions 341 to 980 of the family's 1831-position model. The record is from RNAcentral. Lineage: Eukaryota; Ciliophora.
CUACCAUGGCUAUUACGGGUAACGGAGGAUUAGGGUUCGAUUCCGGAGAGGGAGCCUGAGAAACGGCUACCACAUCUAAGGAAGGCAGCAGGCGCGUAAAUUACCCAAUCCUGAUUCAGGGAGGUAGUGACAAGAAAUAACGGACCGAGGUCUUAUGAUUUCGGGAUUGCAAUGAGCCGAAUUUACACCCCUUAGCGAGAAUCGAUUGGAGGGCAAGUCUGGUGCCAGCAGCCGCGGUAAUUCCAGCUCCAAUAGCGUAUAUUAAAGUUGUUGCAGUUAAAAAGCUCGUAGUUGGAUUUCUGGUUAGGUGCUAAUGUCCGCCAUUGUGCGUGUGCAGCGGCGCCCUUCCAUCCUUCUGUUAACGCCUCUUGGCAUUCAUUUGCUGGUGGUGGGCUCAGAUAUUUUACCUUGAGAAAAUUAGAGUGUUUCAGGCAGGCUAGGCCCGGAAUAUAUUAGCAUGGAAUAAUGGAAUAGGACUAUGGUCUCUUUGUUGGUUUGAGGGACUGCAGUAAUGAUUAAUAGGGAUAGUUGGGGGCAUUAGUAUUUAAUUGCCAGAGGUGGAAUUCUCAGAUUUGUUAAAGACUAACUUAUGCGAAAGCAUUUGCCAAGGAUGUUUUCAUUAAUCAA